AAUAUUUCAAAUAGUUUAAUUUUAAAAAUACUCUAUUCAGUGCUAAAAUAGGUCUUCACUUGCUGUUACCCAUUUCCAUUUUCUUAAACUUCUCUUUUUUUCAGACAAAAAAUAAAAUCAUAAAGUUUAAUUAAACAUGCAGAUUUUAAAGAAAAGGGAACGUUCUAGAAAGUCUGAGCUGAAAGAGUACUGGGGGCAGGUACUGUGGUCAGAACCUCCAAUCAUGGCUGGGGUUUUCUGUGGCAGGAGGCAGGGAUGCUGGAAUGAAACAGGUGAAGACAGGAAGCUGCGCGUGUGCGUAGUGAGCGUGAGGAAGCGGAAGGUUCUCGGGCUGCUGUAUUAUUAGAUUUUGAUUUUUCUUUCU
Molecule: long non-coding RNA, 364 nt
Filed under: Rattus norvegicus (Norway rat)
Lineage: Eukaryota; Metazoa; Chordata; Mammalia; Rodentia; Muridae
Description: long non-coding RNA NONRATT007402
Source: RNAcentral